UUUUUUUCUCCUUGUCUUUAUUUGUGUGUUUACAAACCCAAUGCAUCACAUUUGUACAGCACAUAUAUAAUAGACUAAGACAGAACAUGAACAUACAUUAAGAAAGUGCUCAAUUUAUCAGUGUUAAAUUUAACAGAUCUUAGAUUAAAUACAACUUUUAUUGUUGAGUAAACAAAGAUGAAUAUUAAACCAUGUCUGUGUUAGAGCAAUAUGCGAUGUCUUGACUUGUGAACACACAUUUUCAAAAUGCAGAGCUGAGGCCAGAAGGAAAGUGAGAAGGGGAUGAAUCCAAAUCCCCUGAGGAAGCUGAAUAUCCACCAAGGCUUGGCCUCCAUGCUGGAGGACCUGUGAAGGACCAAGGCUUGUUCUCCGAAGUUGCUUCCCAAAGAGAUGCUAACAAAGCUGGCAAACAGCUGGCUCAGUAAGACCGCUUCCAUUUUCCAGAUACCUCUUCUCAAUUAAAGCUGAAUUGUGAGGAAAAUAAAAACUUCUGAAAUAUUUAAAUAGACUUUUUUAAUAGAGAAAGAAAAUUUUACAACCAGUCAGGACAUUCCCAGUGGUUCUCCUCCUGCAUUUGCUACUGUAGCUCCUACAUGGGUGUUGGUUCUCUACAACACUCUCCUGGGAAAUCAUUUCUGAUUUAAUGGGCAAGAGGUGAGCUGUGGAUUCAGACAGUCAAGCCAAAAGAGACAAUCUUCUGUGUGGUGGAUAAUAGGUUCUCCAACUUCCCUCUUCUUCACCCAGGAAUAAGACAUAAGCAUGCCUCAACCUUGACUCUGAGGUGGAUUGCUUUCCCCACCUCCAGAUUCAGGACUACCUGGUUUGUGCACAUGACCUAAUAACAAUACUCUGAUUUGUCUUGCUUUUACAAAAAUUAGAUAUACCUGAUUCACCCACUUUGAAAUCCCAAAAUGAGUCAUAUUUGUGCAAAAAGUCCCAAAUUCUUUCUCCUGUUGUUUCUGAUUUUCAUUUGGUCCUGCAAAGAAAGAAGACUGACUAUACUUGCACUUUGUAGCUUAUGGUCAAAAUGGCACCAGGACCAUUCUUCUCUGACCCACACUGGUGAGCUCUCUCUGCAGCAGCACGCUCAUAAGAACCCAGCACCACCGCAUCUAAGUGAAAACAUCUGUCCCCAGCCAGCCCCCGUCAUAAGCCUAAACACUUAUCACUUUUUAUCUUAUUAUGCUUUUUUGCUGUAUCUUUCCAAUGUGACAGGAAUUUCAUCUCUUUCAUUAUAAACAGUCUGUGUCUUUAAAUACCAACACCCUCAUCUGGUCUGUCUACAAUUAAGAUGUUUUUAGGGUAGCUUACUUUCAUUUCACAAAUUAGUAUCAUAGCUCAAGAAGUAUGAAAAUCCCACAAAUUAAUGUGUUGCUCUUUGCAUUGAUUUCAUUUAUUCCUGUUGUCUGCCCCUAAGUGGGAUACUGACUUGAAAGGUCCAGCUAUCCUGUAGAUAAAAUUUUUGAUUGUCCAAUACUGGAAGGGUUAAAAAAUUGCAAUCACGUAGUCUGAAAAAGUAAUUUACUACUUCAAAAAUCUUCAUCGUUCAAUUCAUAGGCUCCUUAAGUUCACAUUGUCUAGUGAUUUAUCCUCAAUCAUACUUCUAAUACGUGAAUGGAAACAUUACAUUUGGUCACGGUUUGUAAAACUUACAGAUAAGUCUAAUCAGAUCUUUUCAAUAAUUCCAACUGCAGGAACGUAAGGUACAUCACAGUUAUUUUUGAUGCAAAUGGCUUUCCAAAGAGGAAAUUUCACAUUCAGAACAACCAAGUAUGAUGAAUACCACACACACUUUUUCUCUAACAAAACCACUGAAGUUUUUUGCACUCUACAUUUUCAAAGCAUCUUCUCAGUUGAUGGUGCAUUUCCACAAAGGACAAGUUUCUCCAAAAGCCUCUGGAAAUGAAUUUUGCAAAAAGAUCCGAAAAGCCAUCUUUGGUCUCUUUUCCUCUUUGUACUUGACUGACACUAAGGUCAAGAAGGUGCAUCUCCAUUCAGUCACAAUGAAACAGAACAUUGUUGGAUUUUUAUCUUCAUGAAAUAAAAACUGCACAAUAAUCACAAAUAUUAAUUAGCAUCAGAUAUAUUGAAAAAAAACCCCAAAUGAAAUAUCAAAUAGAUUAAUUUCUAAAAUUCUGGUAAGUAAAGAAACGCAAGAAAGGACACCAGUGAUCUGGAGAACAGUUCUAUGCCUUGCCCUUCUCUAGAAGAUCCCAUCUCUAAGGCAUCACACAAAUACACAGUCCAGGAUUAAUUUUUUUUUCCUUUUUAUUGUAAAAAAAUAUAUUAAUGAAUAUCUUAAGUAAUGGCUGAGAAGGCAAACUGCACUUUUGAGCUGGUGCUGAUCUUGGUGUGUGUGCAAGCCCUGAUGCCCCCCAGGCUUGCUCCCUGCUCAAGGGGACAGGGCUGGGGUUGGGGCAUUCCUCCAGCCUGGCUGAUGGCACCAUCGGUUACAAGCACAGUAAGAGAAAUGGACAGUGAGGGCUGAGGGAGAGGCAAGACAUAGGGCCAAGUUUCACCUAAAUCAGCAUGAUAAUCACAUUUCUUUGCAGAACAUUGUCCUGAACAGAGGUUGUUCUUAGCCUGAUCCUUAAUAAAGGGGAUAAUAGCUCAUGAGAACAACAGUCACAGGAGGUAUUUCUAGUCAGCUUUUGUUCUUGUGCUUACCCAGUUCAUGUGCAGCCUAAGGGUAUAAGUAGAGAAACUAUAGAGGGGAUUAACAGACUUUCUUUCCAGCAGGCCUCAUAUGCCAAAGCGAUGACUCUAUUAGCAUUGUUUUCCUUGAAAGGUUUGUUUCAAUAGCAAGCACAAAGGCACCAAACUCUUUCCUGAGGCCCUGUUUUCUCCUCUGAAGAGGAGCAAGACUUCAAUUGUGGAUCUAAACACUUUGGAGUUUCUGCUUCCAUCUGGGACAACCCAACCAAAUUUUCCACCUCCCAUUUGCAGACCAUCAUCAGGGACAAAGUGUCUGUGGGGAUCUUACACCCGUACAUGCUCCAUAUCAGCAGAGUCACAUUUUAUGAUUUUAACAUUAUUAUUUG
RNAcentral lists this long non-coding RNA (3041 nucleotides) under Strigops habroptila (Kakapo). Its description in RNAcentral is "lncRNA (ENSSHBG00005016221.1)". Lineage: Eukaryota; Metazoa; Chordata; Aves; Psittaciformes; Psittacidae. The record is from RNAcentral.